UACGUAGGGGGCAAGCGUUGUCCGGAAUUAUUGGGCGUAAAGAGCUCGUAGGCGGUCUGUCGCGUCGGAUGUGAAAAUCCAGGGCUCAACCCUGGACCUGCAUUCGAUACGGGCAGACUAGAGUUCGGCAGGGGAGACUGGAAUUCCUGGUGUAGCGGUGAAAUGCGCAGAUAUCAGGAGGAACACCGGUGGCGAAGGCGGGUCUCUGGGCCGAUACUGACGCUGAGGAGCGAAAGCGUGGGGAGCAAACAGG
RNAcentral lists this ribosomal RNA (253 nucleotides) under uncultured bacterium. RNAcentral's name for it is "partial 16S ribosomal RNA". It matches the Rfam family "Bacterial small subunit ribosomal RNA", at positions 524 to 776 of the family's 1533-position model. The record is from RNAcentral.